GCAGCUUGCUGGACUGUAACUGACGCUGAGGCACGAAAGCGUGGGGAUCAAACAGGAUUAGAUACCCUGGUAGNCCACGCCGUAAACGAUGAAUGCUAGCUGUUAGCGAUAUACUGUUAGCGGCACAGAGAAAUCGUUAAGCAUUCCACCUGGGGAGUACGCCGGCAACGGUGAAACUCAAAGGAAUUGACGGGGGCCCGCACAAGCGGAGGAACAUGUGGUUUAAUUCGAUGAUACGCGAGGAACCUUACCUGGGCUUAAAUUGCAGUGGAAUAACGUGGAAACAUGUUAGCCUUCGGGCCGCUGUGAAGGUGCUGCAUGGUUGUCGUCAGCUCGUGCCGUGAGGUGUCGGCUUAAGUGCCAUAACGAGCGCAACCCUCAUCGAUAGUUACUAACAGGUUAAGCUGAGGACUCUAUCGAGACUGCCGACGUAAGUCGUGAGGAAGGUGGGGAUGACGUCAAAUCAGCACGGCCCUUACGUCCAGGGCUACACACGUGUUACAAUGGGGGGUACAAAGGGCAGCUACCUGGCGACAGGAUGCUAAUCUCAAAAACCUCUCUCAGUUCGGAUUGGAGUCUGCAACCCGACUCCAUGAAGCUGGAUUCGCUAGUAAUCGCGCAUCAGCCACGGCGCGGUGAAUACGUUCCCGGGCCUUGUACACACCGCCCGUCAAGCCAUGGGAGCCGGGGGGACCUGAAGUAUGCAACCGUAAGGAGCGUCCUAGGGUAAAACUGGUGACUGGGGCU
This 747-nucleotide ribosomal RNA is filed under the name uncultured prokaryote. RNAcentral's name for it is "bacterial SSU rRNA". It matches the Rfam family "Bacterial small subunit ribosomal RNA", at positions 721 to 1482 of the family's 1533-position model. The record is from RNAcentral.